Molecule: long non-coding RNA, 2103 nt
Organism: Cygnus olor (mute swan)
Lineage: Eukaryota; Metazoa; Chordata; Aves; Anseriformes; Anatidae
Exons: 2
Source: RefSeq, a predicted model, not a curated record
GCUCCGUGACAAGUAGAUGCAGAAACAGAUGGGUGCUGACUUCUGAUGUACUUAUAAAAAUCUGGAAAAGCUGAUAGAGUUAGUGUUGAGAUGGACCCCAGGAAGUGAUGAUGCCGCAAGCAGUUUGGGUGGGAAAGCAAGGAAUGCUUCUGCCCAUCACUGAAAUUCUGUUUCCCUGACAGCAAAGUCUUUACAGCGACUUUCAACUGCCGGCUGAUCAGGAUCGAGAAGGCAGCCCGUAGAACAGGAGAGAAGGAUGCUUUACAGCUCCGUGGGUUGCUCUGAAGCUGAACUCAACCCGAGAAAAUUAGAGCUGCCCAGCUGCAGGCAGCAAGGUAAGAAACACUGCUUCUUUCGCUUGCCCCAGGCUUUCAGAUUCAUCUGGACUUUCUGCUGAGCUUCACAGUGAGUUAUGCUGCCAGCUGAAUGUGAGCUUUACCUCCUGGUAAGGUCUCUUCUCACUACCUCUGACGGAUGAAUAAUAGCUUAUUGUUUCUGGCAGAUGCUGAACUGAUCCACCACAUUUCAUCUCCUUUUUAUUCCAGGACUAUCUAAUGCACAGAUCACUCACUGGGCUCCCGUCAUCGGAGACAGCGUGCCGAAAUCCUGCACGUUUACACAGACUGCCCUAUCGGACGUUUGGAAACCCCUCACUUGGGACUCAGCACCAUCCUCUCCAGAAUAUUCAGCAAGGGAUAUCCCUGGGAAGAUCAGGUUCAGAGCAAAGCCCCCUGCACGACAGCCCGAAGCACAGCGCUUCUCAGGUACGAGAGUUUCUGGAGAGGCGACAGGACUGCUGAGGGUCCUCCACGAGCAUGCAGGGCGCAGCUCUGACCGUCACAUCCACCUCUGUCGGGACACUCAAGUCUCCAAGCGACUAGCUGGGGCUUUAUGUACCUUGCUAAAGGCACCACUGGUGCUGUACCUGCACACAUCUUCCACAUCUGAGUGUCCUUACCCAGCUGACUAUUAGCAGGGGAAUACAUGGCCUACCUGCAAAAACGAGGAGCUACCAUCAAAGAUUUAAUUAAAAUCAGACAGCGAGAAAAAAAAUACUGCCGAUGCUCCCGCACCAUGAGGUGAAUGCCUCGGAGGUCUCCGGUGCCCACAGAAGAGCACAGCUACCGGCGACUGCCUUCCCCCAGCAAGCCGACAGCGCCUGCUUGGGUGCCUCUCCCAGGCUUGUCACUGGAUACGGAUUCAGGUUUUAAAGAUUUUGAAGGCUGAAGUAUUUACUUUUUUCGCUAGAGAUCAUUUGGUAUACAGAAAGCAUUAAAUAAUAACUACUAUCAUUAAGACACUUAAAUGAACAUUCCAGCUAGCUCUCACCUACGAGUUCUGUAAGACCUGAGCUGAGAGCUCUGAAGGAAAUUCUCAUUUUGGCACCAAAUUUUAGAAUAAAUUGUAACACCCAAACUAGUAUUUCCUGACAAAAACAACGGCGGUCAAUACAUGGCUCCAUCAAUAAAAAAUUAAGGAAAUAAUAUAACGUCCUACCAGCAUGGUUUUAGGCAACAGAUCUUCAUUAAGUAUAGAGCCUCAAAUGACAAAUACGGUAAAGGCUAACUUCAUUGUUGCAAUCUAUCUGAGUUUACCUGGGCAGCUUAUGGCUUUCCAGAUUUAAGCACUGCAAACAUUUAUUACAGAUUGCCUAACUCAUUUUAAAGCAAAUUAAUUUAUGAAGAAUCACCGGGGAACCAAGCAUACUACCGCGGACCAGGUUUCAGCCCAGUCAAAAUUCUCUGGAAAGGAGCAGAAACAAUUUCAUUAUUCACUGGUGGUUUUGGAGGGGCAGCCCUGCGCUCCCACCUGGCAGCCCAAAACGCAUUCAGAGAGCACAGUGCCUCCGGCGCCAUGCAGUCCGUCACUGCUGCCACACAGCACCGCGAUGGACCAUGGCAAUCGCCUUCUUGGUAGUGUGCCUACACAUGCAGACACAUACUGGAAGAGCUGAGGUGCUUGAAAAACAAAACCAAAACACAUCCGACCCAGUACUAGGAGAACCCCACCGCUUCAAGAAUCAGUCAUCGUUUAGAAAGCACGUUCCAUUGAUAAACCUAUUUCAUUAUAGAAAGAAACGGGGAGAUGCAACAUGACCCAUCU